CUCAGUUCGGAUCGGAGUCUGCAACCCGACUCCGUGAAGCUGGAUUCGCUAGUAAUCGCGCAUCAGCCAUGGCGCGGUGAAUACGUUCCCGGGCCUUGUACACACCGCCCGUCAAGCCAUGGGAGCCGGGAGCGCUUGAAGUGCGUCGCCGCGAGGCGCGCCCUAGAGCGAGACCGGUGACUGGGGCUAAGUCGUAACAAGGUAAC
RNAcentral lists this ribosomal RNA (206 nucleotides) under uncultured bacterium. RNAcentral describes it as "partial 16S ribosomal RNA". It matches the Rfam family "Bacterial small subunit ribosomal RNA", at positions 1287 to 1500 of the family's 1533-position model. The record is from RNAcentral.